RNAcentral lists this ribosomal RNA (456 nucleotides) under Coniochaeta hansenii. RNAcentral describes it as "eukaryotic LSU rRNA". It matches the Rfam family "Eukaryotic large subunit ribosomal RNA", at positions 107 to 575 of the family's 3401-position model. The record is from RNAcentral. Lineage: Eukaryota; Fungi; Ascomycota; Sordariomycetes; Coniochaetales; Coniochaetaceae.
GCUCAAAUUUGAAAUCUGGCCUCGGCCCGAGUUGUAAUUUGUAGAGGAUGCUUUUGGCGAGGUGCCUUCUGAGUUCCCUGGAACGGGACGCCGUAGAGGGUGAGAGCCCCGUACAGUCGGACACCUAGCCUCUGUAAAGCUCCUUCGACGAGUCGAGUAGUUUGGGAAUGCUGCUCUAAAUGGGAGGUAUAUCUCUUCUAAAGCUAAAUAUAGGCCAGAGACCGAUAGCGCACAAGUAGAGUGAUCGAAAGAUGAAAAGCACUUUGAAAAGAGGGUUAAAUAGCACGUGAAAUUGUUGAAAGGGAAGCGCUUGUGACCAGACUUGCGCCGGGCUGAUCAUCCAGUGUUCUCACUGGUGCACUCGACCCGGCUCAGGCCAGCGUCGGUUCUCGCUGGGGGACAAAAGCUCCGGGAACGUGGCUCCUCCGGGAGUGUUAUAGCCCGUUGUUUAAUACC